CCAAACUGGGAUUAGAUACCCCACUAUGCUCAGCCCUAAACAUAAAUAAUUAUCACAACAAAAUUAUCUGCCAGAGAACUACUAGCAAUAGCUUAAAACUCAAAGGACUUGGCGGUGCUUUACAUCCCUCUAGAGGAGCCUGUUCUAUAAUCGAUAAACCCCGAUAGACCUCACCACUUCUAGCUUAAUCAGUCUAUAUACCGCCAUCUUCAGCAAACCCUUAAAGGGAAGAAAAGUAAGCACAAUAAUAUUACAUAAAAAAGUUAGGUCAAGGUGUAACCUAUGAAGUGGGAAGAAAUGGGCUACAUUUUCUAACCAAGAACACACUCACGAAAGUUUUUAUGAAAACUAAAAACUAAAGGUGGAUUUAGUAGUAAAUUAAGAAUAGAGAGCUUAAUUGAAUAGGGCCAUAAAGCACGCACACACCGCCCGUCACCCUCC
This 441-nucleotide ribosomal RNA is filed under the name Mustela putorius (European polecat). RNAcentral's name for it is "partial small subunit ribosomal RNA". It matches the Rfam family "Bacterial small subunit ribosomal RNA", at positions 767 to 1405 of the family's 1533-position model. The record is from RNAcentral. Lineage: Eukaryota; Metazoa; Chordata; Mammalia; Carnivora; Mustelidae.